This is a non-coding RNA of Brassica napus (rape), 1712 nucleotides long. The record is from Rfam. NCBI's taxonomy places the organism in Eukaryota, Viridiplantae, Streptophyta, Magnoliopsida, Brassicales, Brassicaceae.
UGACCCCAGGUCAGGCAGGAUCACCCGCUGAGUUUAAGCAUAUCAAUAAGCGGAGGAAAAGAAACUAACAAGGAUUCGCUUAGUAACAGUGAGCGAACCGGGAAGAGCCCAGCUUGAAAAUCGGAUGUCUUCGGCGUUCGAAUUGUAGUCUGGAGAAGCGUCCUCAGCGACGGACCGGGCCCAAGUUCCCUGGAAAGGGGCGCCAGAGAGGGUGAGAGCCCCGUCGUGCCCGGACCCUGUCGCACCACGAGGCGCUGUCUACGAGUCGGGUUGUUUGGGAAUGCAGCCCCAAUCGGGCGGUAAAUUCCGUCCAAGGCUAAAUAUGGGCGAGAGACUGAUAGCGAACAAGUACCGCGAGGUAAAGAUGAAAAGGACUUUGAAAAGAGAGCAAAGAGUGCUUGAAAUUGUCGGGAGGAAAGCGGAUGGGGGCCGGUGAUUCAUCCCGGUCGGAUGCAGAACGGAGCAAUCCGAUCUGCCGAUCGAUUCGGGGAGUGGCGGGCGGUAAAUUCCGUCCAAGGCUAAAUAUGGGCGAGAGACCGAUAGCGAACAAGUACCGCGAGGUAAAGAUGAAAAGGACUUUGAAAAGAGAGUCAAAGAGUGCUUGAAAUUGUCGGGAGGGAAGCGGAUGGGGGCCGGCGAUGCGUCCUGGUCGGAUGCGGAACGGAGCAAUCCGAUCUGCCGAUCGAUUCGGGGAGUGGACCUAUGCGCCUCUCGGCGUGCCUUGGCAUCUGCGUGCUCAGGACGUCGGCCUGUGGGCUCCCCAUUUGACCCAUCUUAAAACAUGGACCAAGGAGUCUGCCAUGUGUGUGAGUCAACGGGUGAGUAAACCCGUAAGGCGCAAGGAAGCUGAUUGGCUGGAUGCCUCACGGGUGCACAGCCGACCGACCUUGAUCUUCUGAGAUGGGUUCGAGUGUGAGCAUGCCUGUCGGGACCCGAAAGAUGGUGAACUAUGCCUGAGCGGGGCAAAGCCAGAGGAAACUCUGGUGGAGGCUCGCCGUGAUACUGACGUGCAAAUCGUUUGUCUGACUUGGGUAAAGGGGCGAAAGACUAAUCGAACCAUCUAGUAGCUGGUUCCCUCCGAAGUUUCCCUCAAGAUAGCUUGAGCUCGAAAACGAGUUCUAUCGGGUAAAGCCAAUGAUUAGAGGCAUCGGGGAGGCAAUGUCCUCGACCUAUUCUCAAACUUUAAAUAGGUAGGACGGGGUGGCUGCUUUGUUGAGCCAUCCCACGGAAUCGAGAGCUACAAGUGGGCCAUUUUUGGUAAGCAGAGUUAGCGAUGUGGGAUGAACCGGAAGCCGGGUUACGGUGCCCAACUGCGCGCUAACCUAGAACCCACAAAAGGUGUUGGUCGGUUAAGGCAGCAGGACGGUAGUCAUGGAAGUUGAAAUCCGCUAAGGGGUGUGUAAAAACUCACCUUCUGAAUCCACUAGCCCCAAAAAUGGAUGGCGCUGAAGCGUGCGACCUAUACCCGGCCGUCGGGGCAAGAGCCAGGCCUCGAUGAGUAGGAGGGCGCGGCAGUCGCUGCAAAACCUAAUGAAGGACCCUAAGAUCGGCUCACUCGAAUGGAUCAGAUUUGGAUAUGAACUCCAGAUGGAGAACUGGAUGGAUUGAAGGGUCGCACGAAGGUUGUGGAAUGGCCUUCGAUAUUCCCGACUUUAGAUGGUGCUUGAUAUGACUCACAAGUCCACCAAAUGAAUAAUCUCUCGUCGUUGCUU